Molecule: ribosomal RNA, 700 nt
Filed under: Bacillus sp. SX51
Lineage: Bacteria; Bacillati; Bacillota; Bacilli; Caryophanales; Bacillaceae
Description: partial 16S ribosomal RNA
Rfam family: Bacterial small subunit ribosomal RNA
Source: RNAcentral
CNGGNNUCUGAAUACAUGCNAGUCGAGCGAAUCAAUAGGAGCUUGCUCCUGUUGAUUAGCGGCGGACGGGUGAGUAACACGUGGGCAACCUGCCUGUAAGACUGGGAUAACACCGGGAAACCGGUGCUAAUACCGGAUAAUCCUUUUCCUCUCAUGAGGAAAAGCUGAAAGUCGGUUUCGGCUGACACUUACAGAUGGGCCCGCGGCGCAUUAGCUAGUUGGUGAGGUAACGGCUCACCAAGGCGACGAUGCGUAGCCGACCUGAGAGGGUGAUCGGCCACACUGGGACUGAGACACGGCCCAGACUCAUACGGGAGGCAGCAGUAGGGAAUCUUCCACAAUGGACGAAAGUCUGAUGGAGCAACGCCGCGUGAGCGAUGAAGGCCUUCGGGUCGUAAAGCUCUGUUGUUAGGGAAGAACAAGUACCGGAGUAACUGCCGGUACCUUGACGGUACCUAACCAGAAAGCCACGGCUAACUACGUGCCAGCAGCCGCGGUAAUACGUAGGUGGCAAGCGUUGUCCGGAAUUAUUGGGCGUAAAGCGCGCGCAGGCGGUCCUUUAAGUCUGAUGUGAAAGCCCACGGCUCAACCGUGGAGGGUCAUUGGAAACUGGGGGACUUGAGUGCAGAAGAAGGAAAGCGGAAUCCACGUNUANCGNUNAAUGCUUAAAAUUUGANAACACNNUNNNNANGNNGUUUCU